Molecule: long non-coding RNA, 1867 nt
Organism: Homo sapiens (human)
Lineage: Eukaryota; Metazoa; Chordata; Mammalia; Primates; Hominidae
Source: Ensembl
AGAACCUCGUCAGUUCAUAAAUUUAAAGCAACUCCAUUUCCUUUGCUUUUGAACAAUCCAAACUAGAUGGUGGAUAUACAUUGGAACAAUCAGAAAGCAUUCCCAGACAGCUUAUUACGAUGCAUAACAUUUGACUAACAUAAAUUCAAAGUCGAGCAAAUGAAGGCAAAAAGGCAGAAGGGAAGAGUGAAAAUGGACCCAGAAAUAGGGCGAAGCAUGUCUGCCACACUCGUCUACCUGCUGACCAUGGGUGAACCUCAUGGUGAGCUGUUGACCACAGGAUUCACCACAGAAUUCACUCUCCAGAAGACAAAAACUGCUGUGGAGAUUGGAAAAUUUAUCUUAAAAUAUUAAGGUCAGACAAGAACCUCUGUCAAGGAACAGGAAGUCGUGCCCUGAGGAGACAAGUAGAGGCUGUAGCCAUGGGUGGCUUUGGGGUAGUAGCUGUUGGCUGUGCCUAGAAGGACAUCAUGAAAGUUGUAAGUGCUGCUAAUUGACGUCCCCCAAUUCAUAUGCGGAAGUCCUGGCCCCUAGUACCUCAAGAUGUGCUUGGUUUUGGAGCUGGGGUCUUUAAAGAGUUUUGCAACUACAAAGGGCCCAGAGUUUCCCUUGUGAAUGAGCUCAGCAUCCUCACGUUUCCAAGAGGAAUCAACACUGCAAUUCCUCGGACCACGGUGGCUCUCUUCCCAGCACACCUUUGCUGUGACCUGCACCCCUGCAUUGUCCUCAAAGACACACUAAGAAAACACAUUUCAGAAGGAAGGACGUAACGGAGCUCAUGAUCCAGUUCUGCAUUUGGCGUGGCCCCAAAGACACUGUGUGCAGAGUCAGAAAUAUGCUCCCCAGUUGGACUCCAUGGGAUACUGUUUCAAAAGAGCUAUCAUUCUUGUCUGUUUACCACAUAUCUUGUUCUAAUAGGCUCUUCUUUUCCAGAGUUUUUUAUUUUCCCUGGCAUUUUGUGUUUUGGUAAUUGCCUACAAGAAUAGUUCUAUAACAGAAAUCAACAAUGAAAACCAAAUUACCCCUGCCCACAUCCUUUCAUUCCUUUUUCAUCUCUAAUGAUAUUUUCUGUAUGAUGACUAACCCAGACUGACGUAAUUUAUCAAUUGAUCUUGACGAUGUACAUUAGAAAAUGCAUUCUGCAGGCCCCAGCAGGCCAUCUUCCAUGUGCGCCACGUAGCUUUAGAAAACCUAUUAGUGCAACAGAAAUAUCUAAAGCCCAGCCUUUUUGCUAAGAAUAUUAGAACUGGUGCUAAUUACUUUAUUAAUCAUAAAGUGAAACAGCCGUGCUAUGUCACCACAGCCGUAAAAUAAGUGGUUUUAUGGCAAAAGUAGUUAAAGAGAAAGGACAGAUUGGAUUUAUAUACUCAGCUGGUUAAAAAAAAGAAAUUAUGCAUACCAGCAAUUUUCUUUCUUUGGUUAAAUGUUCAUUAAAUGUGUACCACUAAAAACCAUUUGUAACUAAUUCCCUAGUGGGUCCAUGCCUUAAAAUAAUUUAUUUUAAAAUACAAAUUAAGGCUUAAAUUUGCCUUUUUAUUAAAAAUAGGUAUAAUGAGUCAACAUAUCUCCUAAGAGAAAGGAGCGUUGCAGACAUGCUGAUGAGAGGAAUCUUGUCGCCAAAACCUGGAGGCCAUGCUGGUGUUGGGGACUUAGGCUAUCCUGCAGGUGCCUGUCACCAUUAAGGGCGGCAGAAUUCAGAGGCUUUGGUCCAGGUUAAAGCACAGAGGUGGCCACUGUCUGAAGACAGGGACACCACAAUGACCAUCAUUGAGGGCGAUGUUUAUGCUUCCAUUGUUAGUUUAGAUAUUUUGUUUUCUUUAAAGUCAGUAUUGUCUCUGAGUAAAUAAAAACAAUCUCCAGUUUCUGC